Molecule: ribosomal RNA, 497 nt
Filed under: uncultured bacterium
Lineage: Bacteria
Description: partial 16S ribosomal RNA
Rfam family: Bacterial small subunit ribosomal RNA
Source: RNAcentral
GAUGAACGCUGGCGGCGUGCCUAAUACAUGCAAGUCGAGCGAACAGAUGAGGAGCUUGCUCCUCUGACGUUAGCGGCGGACGGGUGAGUAACACGUGGAUAACCUACCUAUAAGACUGGGAUAACUUCGGGAAACCGGAGCUAAUACCGGAUAAUAUAUUGAACCGCAUGGUUCAAUAGUGAAAGACGGUUUUGCUGUCACUUAUAGAUGGAUCCGCGCCGCAUUAGCUAGUUGGUAAGGUAACGGCUUACCAAGGCAACGAUGCGUAGCCGACCUGAGAGGGGGAUCGGCCACAUUGGAACGGAGACACCGUCCAGACUCCUAAGGGAGGCAGCAGUAGGGAAUCUGACGCAAUGGGCGAAAGCCUGACGGAGCAACGCCGCGUGAGUGAUGAAGGUCUUCGGAUCGUAAAACUCUGUUAUUAGGGAAGAACAAAUGUGUAAGUAACUAUGCACGUCUUGACGGUACCUAAUCAGAAAGCCACGGCUAACUACGUG